UACGUAGGGGCGAGCGUUGUCCGGAAUGAUUGGGCGUAAAGGGCGCGUAGGCGGCCUGUCAAGUCAGUAGUGGAAGUCCAUCUUUCAAGGAUGGAAGUGCUACAGAAACUGAUGGGCUUGAGUGCAGGAGAGGUUAUCGGAAUUCCCGGUGUAGCGGUGAAAUGCGUAGAGAUCGGGAGGAACACCAGUGGCGAAGGCGGGUAACUGGACUGCAACUGACGCUGAGGCGCGAAAGUGUGGGGAGCAAACAGGAUUAGAUACCCU
RNAcentral lists this ribosomal RNA (264 nucleotides) under uncultured prokaryote. RNAcentral describes it as "partial 16S ribosomal RNA". It matches the Rfam family "Bacterial small subunit ribosomal RNA", at positions 524 to 788 of the family's 1533-position model. The record is from RNAcentral.